AAUCAGAAAAAAAUAGUAUUAUCCAACCGUUCAACCAAUCCGUGCGUU
This 48-nucleotide small RNA is filed under the name Arabidopsis thaliana (thale cress). RNAcentral describes it as "ATSL064790". Lineage: Eukaryota; Viridiplantae; Streptophyta; Magnoliopsida; Brassicales; Brassicaceae. The record is from RNAcentral.